GACACCAUAGCCAAGUGGUUACGGCGACAGAUUAGAAUUCGUUCUACCAUCUGUUUCACUUUGUGAGCGCAGGUUCGAAUCCUGCUGGUGUCG
Transfer RNA from Coprinopsis cinerea okayama7#130, 93 nucleotides. It matches the Rfam family "tRNA". Rfam says of the family: Transfer RNA (tRNA) molecules are approximately 80 nucleotides in length. Their secondary structure includes four short double-helical elements and three loops (D, anti-codon, and T loops). Further hydrogen bonds mediate the characteristic L-shaped molecular structure. tRNAs have two regions of fundamental functional importance: the anti-codon, which is responsible for specific mRNA codon recognition, and the 3' end, to which the tRNAs corresponding amino acid is attached (by aminoacyl-tRNA synthetases). tRNAs cope with the degeneracy of the genetic code in two manners: having more than one tRNA (with a specific anti-codon) for a particular amino acid; and 'wobble' base-pairing, i.e. permitting non-standard base-pairing at the 3rd anti-codon position. Lineage: Eukaryota; Fungi; Basidiomycota; Agaricomycetes; Agaricales; Psathyrellaceae. The record is from Rfam.